Long non-coding RNA from Oryza sativa Japonica Group (Japanese rice), 690 nucleotides. RefSeq lists it as uncharacterized. Lineage: Eukaryota; Viridiplantae; Streptophyta; Magnoliopsida; Poales; Poaceae. The record is from RefSeq and is a predicted model, not a curated record.
UGACCUUGGGUGCCUCUUUAGCCCCACAACACACCCAUGGGCGUGCUUCCACCUCAGGACUUAAGGGGGGGGGCAGAGAUAACCCCUUCUUCUUCCUCCCCUUUCAUCUUCACUGCUUGUUCUUUCUUUUUUUUCCUCAAGCUGAGCUCUCAUCUCACUUCUCCUCCCCAAAUCCCAUCCAAUAGCCCAAGAUCAAUUCAUGCAUGUUAGAUCACAACAAUCCCCAUCAUCCAAGCUUUCCAUCCAUCCCAACAUCUUGCACAUGCAUGGAGAGUUGAGAGAGAUUGAAAUAGGAGAAGAGAGUGGUGGUUUCAGCCUGCAUGGUUGCAGCAGCAACAUGACUUUGUUUCCCUCUAUUUGGUCAUCCAUCUCCAUUAUUGCAGCUAGGAGGUGGCUGCAGCUCAUCCGGUGUUAAUCUCUUUUGAUUUCGGUUGAAGCAGCCCUAGGCAACGUCUCUUACCGUCAGCCCGAGGCCUUGCUCCGUCUCUUGCCAUCAGCCCGAGGCCUUAGCCUCAUGACCCUACGUCCAGGUUGCUACCAUGUGAGCGAAGUCUGGUGGAAUUUGGAGAAAAGGGGGAGCGAAAAUAGAAAUCGAUUUCUGAGAUAGCUUUUGAGCUGAAAGAGAUUCGGAGAUUCCGGAGAGUAACGAGCCAUAUCCCGAGGAGGAUAGUGACUACCCUCAGCAGCAAG